UACGAAGGGGGCUAGCGUUGCUCGGAAUCACUGGGCGUAAAGCGCACGUAGGCGGCGCGUUAAGUCGGGUGUGAAAGCCCUGGGCUCAACCCAGGAAGUGCAUUCGAAACUGGCGCGCUUGAAUAUGGAAGAGGGUCGCGGAAUUCCCGGUGUAGAGGUGAAAUUCGUAGAUAUCGGGAGGAACACCAGUGGCGAAGGCGGCGACCUGGGCCAAUAUUGACGCUGAGGUGCGAAAGCGUGGGGAGCAAACAGG
This 253-nucleotide ribosomal RNA is filed under the name uncultured bacterium. RNAcentral describes it as "partial 16S ribosomal RNA". It matches the Rfam family "Bacterial small subunit ribosomal RNA", at positions 524 to 776 of the family's 1533-position model. The record is from RNAcentral.